RNAcentral lists this ribosomal RNA (400 nucleotides) under uncultured bacterium. RNAcentral's name for it is "bacterial SSU rRNA". It matches the Rfam family "Bacterial small subunit ribosomal RNA", at positions 357 to 774 of the family's 1533-position model. The record is from RNAcentral.
GGGAAUAUUGGACAAUGGGCGCAAGCCUGAUCCAGCCAUGCCGCGUGAGUGAUGAAGGCCUUAGGGUUGUAAAGCUCUUUUACUCGGGAAGAUAGUGACGGUACCGAGGGAAUAAGCCCCGGCUAACUUCGUGCCAGCAGCCGCGGUAAUACGAAGGGGGCUAGCGUUGUUCGGAUUUACUGGGCGUAAAGCGCACGUAGGCGGAUUUUUAAGUCAGGGGUGAAAUCCCGAGGCUCAACCUCGGAACUGCCUUUGAUACUGGGGAUCUUGAGUCCGGAAGAGGUGAGUGGAACUGCGAGUGUAGAGGUGAAAUUCGUAGAUAUUCGCAAGAACACCAGUGGCGAAGGCGGCUCACUGGUCCGGAACUGACGCUGAGGUGCGAAAGCGUGGGGAGCAAACA